Fundulus heteroclitus (mummichog) is the source of this 473-nucleotide long non-coding RNA. RefSeq lists it as uncharacterized. The record is from RefSeq and is a predicted model, not a curated record. NCBI's taxonomy places the organism in Eukaryota, Metazoa, Chordata, Actinopteri, Cyprinodontiformes, Fundulidae. The transcript has 2 exons.
AUAUCCAUAAUAAAGGCUAGAUGUCUUACGGCGGAGUCUCAAACGUCAUCACCGGCGGCCAUCUUGCCUCAGGCAAGCUUUCUGGCGUGCUCUGUGGUACCUAAUGUAAGGAUUUGUUGAGCGACGGGUUCUGAAGAAGCUGUCCUGUGAUGUCUGCUGUGCCAGCUUGGUAACAGAUGCUGCAUCUGCCAUCAAGGACCAGAGCUACCACCUGCUGAAGUUAAAAAAACAAUGGAAAUCUGGUGAUUCCAUCAGAAGGCACAGUGAUGGUAGUCAGGGCAGCAGAGUGGGUCAUUCGUCAGACCUGUCUAUGGCAAAGACAGCCACCACCAUACGCUGUUAAUGUUGGUUGUGUCCUUGUUUUUUUAAGUUAAGGCUGCACCACAUUGCCAAAAUAACUAACCUUAGCUUACAGAGCAACAACAUGCAACAGAAGCUCAAUAAAACCGUCCUUUUCAAAGGGCAUUAGCCAA